AAAAAAAAAGCUCUUUCAUUGAGUUUUGUUUUGGAGAAGGUAGAAGAAGAUCGAUGAACAAUCCCACAAGCCUCAAUCCCUCUUCUUCUCUACACUAUACAGCUUUAAUCCAUCUUCUAGGAUUAGAGAGAAAGAGAUGGGUUGUUGUUGAAGAUGAAGAUCAUGGGUCACUAUGUUUGAAGAAGAUGAAGAUGAAAGAGGGUUUGAUGAACUUUGAAUAAUGAGAUGAAGAUUUAAGGGUUAAAUAUUUUUUGUUUUAUAAAAAUUAGUUUGUUU
Long non-coding RNA from Trifolium pratense (red clover), 276 nucleotides. RefSeq lists it as uncharacterized. The transcript is spliced from 2 exons. Lineage: Eukaryota; Viridiplantae; Streptophyta; Magnoliopsida; Fabales; Fabaceae. The record is from RefSeq and is a predicted model, not a curated record.